AUUGAACGCUGGCGGCAUGCCUUACACAUGCAAGUCGAACGGCAGCACGGGAGCUUGCUCCUGGUGGCGAGUGGCGAACGGGUGAGUAAUACAUCGGAACGUGCCAGUAGUGGGGGAUAGCCCGGCGAAAGCCGGAUUAAUACCGCAUACGACCUACGGGUGAAAGCGGGGGACCGUAAGGCCUCGCGCUAUUGGAGCGGCCGAUGUCUGAUUAGCUUGUUGGUGGGGUAAAAGCCCACCAAGGCGACGAUCAGUAGCUGGUCUGAGAGGACGAUCAGCCACACUGGGACUGAGACACGGCCCAGACUCCUACGGGAGGCAGCAGUGGGGAAUUUUGGACAAUGGGGGCAACCCUGAUCCAGCAAUGCCGCGUGUGCGAAGAAGGCCUUCGGGUUGUAAAGCACUUUUGUCAGGGAAGAAAUCUUUCAGGCUAAUACCCUUGGAAGGAUGACGGUACCUGAAGAAUAAGCACCGGCUAACUACGUGCCAGCCGCCGCGGUAA
This 502-nucleotide ribosomal RNA is filed under the name uncultured bacterium. RNAcentral's name for it is "partial 16S ribosomal RNA". It matches the Rfam family "Bacterial small subunit ribosomal RNA", at positions 30 to 523 of the family's 1533-position model. The record is from RNAcentral.